Molecule: transfer RNA, 76 nt
Filed under: Phocaeicola vulgatus
Lineage: Bacteria; Pseudomonadati; Bacteroidota; Bacteroidia; Bacteroidales; Bacteroidaceae
Description: Bacteroides vulgatus tRNA-Gly
Rfam family: tRNA
About the family: Transfer RNA (tRNA) molecules are approximately 80 nucleotides in length. Their secondary structure includes four short double-helical elements and three loops (D, anti-codon, and T loops).
Source: RNAcentral
GCGGGAAUAGCUCAGUUGGUAGAGCAUAACCUUGCCAAGGUUAGGGUCGCGAGUUCGAGUCUCGUUUUCCGCUCAA